AGCCUGUAAGGUGACACUUGGCAGGGGCCAGUGGGGAGGGGCUCGGGGAGACCCCCAGGGCAGGGUGGCUGCAAAGCAGGUGACAUCCCCCCAUCAGACCUCAGAGAUGCUGGUGGGAUUGUGAGCCGAUGUUACCGGAGCAGUUGGUCCCCCGACGUCAUUGCUUGGGAAUGAAAACCACACACGCGUGUGGCGGAGUGGAUGGUGUCCCAACCCUGCAAAUCCACGUCUGCCCGGAAUAUGAGUGUGACCUACAGGAUCAGGGUGGCCCUAGACCCCGUGACAGGGUCCUUAAAAGACACCAAAGAGGAGAGACACGGACACAGAGGAGAAGCCACGUGGAGAUGGAGGCAGAGAUGGGAGGGACGUGGCCACCAGCCCAGAGAUGGACGCCCAGAGCCCCCAGAAGCCGGAAGAGGCGGGGAGGACCCUCCCCUGGAGACUCUGCAGGGAGCUCAGCCCUGGGACACACAGACCUCAGACGUGUGGUCCCCAGGACUCGGGGAGGAUGGAUGCCUGUCUGGGGCGUUAAGCCCCUCAUUUAUAGAACUGUCACAGCUGCCCUAGGAGACCCCUGCAGUCUGCAAUUCUGAGACUGGGCCUCUGGCCACUGGCCGGGUGGUUCUAGGGGUCGCAGUGCCUGGUGCUGGCUCCUGGGGUGGGACCUGUAUAGGGCAGUCCAUGCUCUUGGCGGGGAGAAAGACUCGCCUGGGGGUCCCAUCCAUCCCCAUCCCCACCAGGGGAGGCCACACAGGGGACAGCGUCCAAGCCAGUCCGCAGUGUUUGCACAGGGCAUCCAUCCUCCCCGAGUCCGCAGUGUUUGCACAGGGCAGAGACCCACCGUCUGCUGCUUUCAGAAUGCCGACCAGACACGCCCCCCGCCCGAGAAAGGACGUGCGCCCACGGGUGGCUGGAGAAGGGCUGGCUUCAAAGACUCGGAUCGCCCCAGGAUGGUGUGUGGUCCACCCGCUCUUCCCAACUGUUCCCAGAGCCAAGCCCCUAGAAAGUCAGGUCGCCAAGACAACAGUCCGGAGGCAGAAAAACCCUGACCCAGCAAGACAGUGGCGGCCACGUCCUGGGCGUGGGCUUCCAGCGUCUGACUAAAAAGCUGUGAAAAACCUCAAACCACCCUCACGGAACCGUCUUCUUGCUGAGCUGAGAACAAGCAUCACCAUUUGAAUUCGGAGGAAGCCGGUCUAAGCAAUAACACUGCCCCUCACCACCCCCACCCCCCAGCCCUCAACGGGUGUGACGUCCAUCCAGCCUUUGGGUCCCAGAGAGCUCAGGUCACAUUUCGUCACCAUCGUCACCAACAGUUCGUUGUCCAGCCCCUCUGGGCCACCGACAUCUCCCUGAUUUCUGCAUCCCAAGGACCCCCAGUUCCACUGAAGUUGCCCAGUAUCCAACAGCAUCUUCAGGGACCCGUCGGCCUUUCCGAGGGGUGCCUGUCGGAUCACUGAAAAUCCCAGGGCUGGAUUUCCUUCUGUUUCAGCAGGUUAAUAAUAUUGUUCUUGUUCAGUCGCUCAGUCGUGUCCGACUCUUUGCGACCCCAUGGACUGCAGCACACCAGGCUUCCCUGUCCUUCACCAUCUCCCGAACUCUGCUGAAACUCAUGUCCAUCGAGUCAGUGAUGCCAUCCAACCAUCUCCUCCUCUGUCAUCCAUCCCCUUCUCCUCCCGCCUUCAAUCUCCCAGCAUCAAGGUCUUUCCCAAAAAGUCAGCUCUUUGCGUCAGGUGGUUAGAGUAUGACAUCUCUUUUCUCGAACCUGUUUUAAAACACCCACACUGAAGGCAUGCGGUUUGCUGGAAAUCGUCAGACGAAGACAUUGAUUUAUUGUUUUUUCCCAGUGUCUGCUGUUUCUUUGGAAACCUGUGAUCCUGCCAUUUCACUGACAUUCCUCAAUGCUGUUAAAAAGCCUCAAGAGCAGGAAUGCGUGUAAAUGAAGGAACUGCAUUGGAGUCCCUGAGGGGGACGGAAUAUGUCCGAUGGAAUGACUGCUUAGGGUCUCGAUGCUAUGUUGACAACUGCUCUUUAAAUCUAGAACUUCUUCAAAAUAAACCAUCUUUUUUUUUUUUUCUAA
Bos taurus (domestic cattle) is the source of this 2080-nucleotide long non-coding RNA. The record is from Ensembl. Lineage: Eukaryota; Metazoa; Chordata; Mammalia; Artiodactyla; Bovidae.